This 792-nucleotide ribosomal RNA is filed under the name uncultured bacterium. Its description in RNAcentral is "bacterial SSU rRNA". It matches the Rfam family "Bacterial small subunit ribosomal RNA", at positions 8 to 795 of the family's 1533-position model. The record is from RNAcentral.
AGAGUUUGAUCCUGGCUCAGAUUGAACGCUGGCGGCAGGCCUAACACAUGCAAGUCGAGCGGAUGAUGGGAGCUUGCUCCUGGAUUCAGCGGCGGACGGGUGAGUAAUGCCUAGGAAUCUGCCUGGUAGUGGGGGACAACGUUUCGAAAGGAACGCUAAUACCGCAUACGUCCUACGGGAGAAAGCAGGGGACCUUCGGGCCUUGCGCUAUCAGAUGAGCCUAGGUCGGAUUAGCUUGUUGGUGAGGUAAUGGCUCACCAAGGCGACGAUCCGUAACUGGUCUGAGAGGAUGAUCAGUCACACUGGAACUGAGACACGGUCCAGACUCCUACGGGAGGCAGCAGUGGGGAAUAUUGGACAAUGGGCGAAAGCCUGAUCCAGCCAUGCCGCGUGUGUGAAGAAGGUCUUCGGAUUGUAAAGCACUUUAAGUUGGGAGGAAGGGUUGUAGAUUAAUACUCUGCAAUUUUGACGUUACCGACAGAAUAAGCACCGGCUAACUCUGUGCCAGCAGCCGCGGUAAUACAGAGGGUGCAAGCGUUAAUCGGAAUUACUGGGCGUAAAGCGCGCGUAGGUGGUUUGUUAAGUUGGAUGUGAAAGCCCCGGGCUCAACCUGGGAACUGCAUCCAAAACUGGCAAGCUAGAGUACGGUAGAGGGUGGUGGAAUUUCCUGUGUAGCGGUGAAAUGCGUAGAUAUAGGAAGGAACACCAGUGGCGAAGGCGACCACCUGGACUGAUACUGACACUGAGGUGCGAAAGCGUGGGGAGCAAACAGGAUUAGAUACCCUGGUAGUC